This 192-nucleotide ribosomal RNA is filed under the name uncultured bacterium. RNAcentral describes it as "partial 16S ribosomal RNA". It matches the Rfam family "Bacterial small subunit ribosomal RNA", at positions 340 to 524 of the family's 1533-position model. The record is from RNAcentral.
UACGGGAGGCAGCAGCAGGGAAUAUUGCACAAUGGGCGCAAGCCUGAUGCAGCCAUGCCGCGUGUAUGAAGAAGGCCUUCGGGUUGUAAAGUACUUUCAGCGGGGAGGAAGGUGUUGUGGUUAAUAACCGCAGCAAUUGACGUUACCCGCAGAAGAAGCACCGGCUAACUCCGUGCCAGCAGCCGCGGUAAU